RNAcentral lists this ribosomal RNA (253 nucleotides) under uncultured bacterium. RNAcentral's name for it is "partial 16S ribosomal RNA". It matches the Rfam family "Bacterial small subunit ribosomal RNA", at positions 524 to 776 of the family's 1533-position model. The record is from RNAcentral.
UACGGAGAGUGCAAGCGUUGUUCGGAAUCAUUGGGCGUAAAGAGCGUGUAGGCGGCCUGUUAAGUCUGGUGUGAAAGCCCUCGGCUUAACCGAGGAAGUGCAUUGGAUACUGGCAGGCUUGAGUACGGGAGAGGGAAGCGGAAUUCCCAGUGUAGAGGUGAAAUUCGUAGAUAUUGGGAGGAACACCAGUGGCGAAGGCGGCUUCCUGGACCGAUACUGACGCUGAGACGCGAAAGCGUGGGGAGCAAACAGG